AAUGAAAAAAAUCCUGUGAUAGAGCCACAUGCUUUCAGAAACAGAAUUUUUUUCACCCUCAAGAAAAAGCUGCAGCAAUUAAAACCUGCAUUUUAAUUUGGGAGCAGAAAAACAACUGGGAACAAUGCUGAGGUGGUAGUUUUCAGGAAGAGCCAAGUGAUUCUUACAUUAUGAAGAUGGACAAUUUCAUAAUGGAGCAAAAACAGAAUAAAGACAAGCACUCAGGUGAUGCCUUUUA
Molecule: long non-coding RNA, 238 nt
Organism: Tachyglossus aculeatus (Australian echidna)
Lineage: Eukaryota; Metazoa; Chordata; Mammalia; Monotremata; Tachyglossidae
Exons: 2
Source: RefSeq, a predicted model, not a curated record